RNAcentral lists this unclassified non-coding RNA (351 nucleotides) under Hevea brasiliensis (rubber tree). The record is from RNAcentral. Lineage: Eukaryota; Viridiplantae; Streptophyta; Magnoliopsida; Malpighiales; Euphorbiaceae.
AAGGAUUUGAGCCUUGUGUUGGUGAAACUACCACCCAUAAUGUAAAAUAUAAUAAUUAAGAAAACAAGGUUAAAAUGCUAAAGCCAUAUGUAGGAGGAAGAGAAGUAAUCGGAAUAUAGGAUCCAGUAUAUGUUCCAUAUUCUGUGAACAAGCAAUUUUAAAUCUGGCCUCCUGCUUAUGAGUGCUAUUUAAAACUUAAAUUGUUAGCCAACAAAUGUGUAUGUUGCUCAAAUCUGUCCAACUGAACUGCAGAUUCUUGUUUGUAUUUAUAUGGUACCUUCUUCUCUACUGCAUGUUUCCUUUUAAUGCGAUGACAUGACGACCAUGGCAGUUUGCAGAUCACUCCUGCAU